UACGUAGGGGGCGAGCGUUGUCCGGAUUUAUUGGGCGUAAAGAGCUCGUAGGCGGCUUAGUAAGUCGGGUGUGAAACCUCCAGGCUCAACCUGGAGACGCCACCCGAUACUGCUGUGGCUAGAGUCCGGUAGGGGAGCGUGGAAUUCCUGGUGUAGCGGUGAAAUGCGCAGAUAUCAGGAGGAACACCAGCGGCGAAGGCAGCUCGCUGGAACGGAACUGACGCUGAGGCGCGAAAGCGUGGGGAGCGAACAGG
RNAcentral lists this ribosomal RNA (254 nucleotides) under uncultured bacterium. Its description in RNAcentral is "partial 16S ribosomal RNA". It matches the Rfam family "Bacterial small subunit ribosomal RNA", at positions 524 to 776 of the family's 1533-position model. The record is from RNAcentral.